AUUGAACGCUGGCGGAAUGCUUUACACAUGCGAGUCGAACGGCAGCACGGGGGCAGCCCUGGUGGCGAGUGGCGAACGGGUGAGUAAUACAUCGGAACGUGCCCGGUCGUGGGGGAUAACGUAGCGAAAGUUACGCUAAUACCGCAUACGAUCUGAGGAUGAAAGCGGGGGACCUUCGGGCCUCGCGCGAUCGGAGCGGCCGAUGUCAGAUUAGGUAGUUGGUGGGGUAAAGGCCUACCAAGCCGACGAUCUGUAGCUGGUCUGAGAGGACGACCAGCCACACUGGGACUGAGACACGGCCCAGACUCCUACGGGAGGCAGCAGUGGGGAAUUUUGGACAAUGGGCGCAAGCCUGAUCCAGCCAUUCCGCGUGCAGGACGAAGGCCUUCGGGUUGUAAACUGCUUUUGUACGGAACGAAAAGGCUCUGGCUAAUACCUGGGGCUCAUGACGGUACCGUAAGAAUAAGCACCGGCUAACUACGUG
RNAcentral lists this ribosomal RNA (484 nucleotides) under uncultured bacterium. Its description in RNAcentral is "partial 16S ribosomal RNA". It matches the Rfam family "Bacterial small subunit ribosomal RNA", at positions 30 to 507 of the family's 1533-position model. The record is from RNAcentral.